This 321-nucleotide ribosomal RNA is filed under the name Triticum aestivum (bread wheat). RNAcentral describes it as "partial small subunit ribosomal RNA". Lineage: Eukaryota; Viridiplantae; Streptophyta; Magnoliopsida; Poales; Poaceae. The record is from RNAcentral.
AUGGCGGACCGGAGCAACAUCGGAAACCUUGGGUUGGCGGCGACAGUCGCCGUGGUUUCAACCGGCAUCAUCCUCAUCUCCUUCCACCUCAUCCGCCGCCUCAAGGAUGAUACCAAGCUAGACAAUAUCGCGGCGCAAGAACAACAGAGCAAGACGAUCAAGAAGGAGAUGCAGCUCACGGAUGACGUGUUGGCGGAUCUCUUCCCGGACGAUGAGGAGUUCUCCAGCUGGCUAGAGGGUAUGACAGUGACUGGUGGCCUCAUCCAGUCACCGCUACGAAGGGUCCCUCGAUUCGACAAUUUGGCAGACGCGCUUAAUUAA